Molecule: long non-coding RNA, 565 nt
Filed under: Daucus carota (carrot)
Lineage: Eukaryota; Viridiplantae; Streptophyta; Magnoliopsida; Apiales; Apiaceae
Description: long non-coding RNA (DCAR_LNC006903)
Source: RNAcentral
UCAAGCCACUAUACUGAUUAGAGAGAAUUGUAAAAGAUUUAAUUCUUCAACAGAGAUGAUCCUCCUGUCCUCUGAUAAUGUAACUUUGCGAUUAACUGCAAAUGGAAGGCUCAUCCUCCUACAGCAAUCCCCAGACUCAAGUACGGAUAAUGUUUCACCUGAUAAAUCUUUUUCUUAUGUUUCCAUGCUAGACACCGGCAACUUUGUGCUCUAUAAUUCUGAUCAAAAGAUAAUAUGGCAGAGUUUUGAUCACCCAACAGAGGCAAUCUUACCUGGUCAGAAUCUUUCAAAUGGUCAGGAAUUGUUUUCAAGCAGGUCAAAAUCUGAUUAUGCCACAGGAAUAUUUAGACGCAAGAUGCAGAUUGUAAAAUAUCUAACCGAUGGGUUUCUGAGAAGCAGAGAGUUUACCUCAUGAAAAUUGAUCCUGAUGGUAUCCUUCGCCAAUAUUCACUGAGUUUCGAUACGAAAGGAAACGGCUCAUUAAUUGUAUGGCAAUCUUUGGCAGACAGAUGUGAUCCUAAAGGCAUAUGUAGCCUAAACAGAUUUCGUACUCUCUCUGAUAAUG